UAUAGCAGUAUCAAUCUCUGUUAGGCUGUAAAAAUGCAAAGACUUCAAAAUGUGUACUGAAGAAAGGAAAAUACUCUAAGAAUUUAUGUAAGCUCUAAAAAGUUCUUACAUGAUUCAGCUCUUCUAUUAGUUGUUGAAGUGUGUUUUUUCUGAAAUUUGUGCAGGUGGUGCAGUCAGAAAUGCAUUCCAAAAACUAAAGAUGCACAGUAAUGCCAUACAGCCUGAAUUUGAAAAAAAAGUCUCUAGCACAACCUCCAAAGGACAGACCAGACAGCUGUUUUCCUGCGAGGUGCAUGAGGUGUCCAUAGGACCACUUGGUUCUAGCUCUAAGGCUUCCAAAGGGAAAUAAUACCAAGUGUUGCGGAAAA
RNAcentral lists this long non-coding RNA (368 nucleotides) under Phasianus colchicus (ring-necked pheasant). Its description in RNAcentral is "lncRNA (ENSPCLG00000016070.1)". The record is from RNAcentral. Lineage: Eukaryota; Metazoa; Chordata; Aves; Galliformes; Phasianidae.